RNA transcript from Varanus komodoensis (Komodo dragon), 2637 nucleotides. It is a transcript of the gene named XK related 8, with no coding region annotated. Lineage: Eukaryota; Metazoa; Chordata; Lepidosauria; Squamata; Varanidae. The transcript has 6 exons. The record is from RefSeq and is a predicted model, not a curated record.
AGUCAUGGCCUGGGCAGGUUGCGGGCCCACCUGUCUCCCACCUUGGCCUCCCCGCUACGGGUACCUGGACCUGGCCUUUGCCUUGAUGGGCACGGUGGCCUUCCUGCUGGACCUGGGCGCCGACCUGUGGGUGGCUGCCAGCUACCUGAAGGAGGGGCACUACUACUGGGGCGGACAAGUUCUGGUGCUCCUGGUUCUGUCCUCGGUGACGACGCAGGUCUUCAGCUGGUUCUGGUACCAGAGCGACCCCAAAGUGCUCAGGCAAGAAGUGCUCACAGGGCGGAUCCUGCUCAUCUUGCACAUCCUGCAGCUUGGCUACCUGUACAGAUGUCUCCAUGUCCUGAAGGUGGGCUUCUGCAUAUGCUGGAAGGAAGCCGUGGAAGAGACCAAGCGGGGCUAUGUUGUUUUCUUGUCACAUGACAUCAGCAUGUUGCGCCUCUUUGAGACCUUCUUGGAAAGUGCCCCUCAACUCACGCUGGUGCUCUACGUUAUCCUACACACAAGUAAAGCAGAGCUAUUUCAGGUACUUGGAAUUUGCACCUCUUUUCUGUGCAUUGCCUGGGCCCUCCUGGAUUAUCACCAGUCCCUGCGCAGUUUCCUACAGGACAAGCACAAGCUGGAUUUCCUGAGCUCUCUCCUCUAUUUCCUGUGGAACUUCCUGUUGGUGUGCCCCCGCAUCUUGUCCCUGGCCCUCUUCACUGUGCUUUUCCCGAGCUACAUUUAUGUUCACUUCCUGGGCGUUUGGCUGGCCAUGUUCCUGUGGGUUUCCUUGCAAGGCACCGACUUCAUGGAACACGCGGCCUCCGAAAGGCUUUACCGGGCGGUAGUGGCCAUCAUUCUGUAUUUUUGCUGGUUCAAUGUGGCCGAGGGGAAGUCGCUCCAUCGCUCAGUCAUUUACCACACAUUCAUUUUGCUGGACAGUGCUCUGCUCGCCGGUGCGUGGAUCUGGAACAACAUGCCCUUGGGCUGGGACUCGCACGAGGUGCAUGUCCUCAUCGUUGCCUUGCCUUGCUACAUGCUUGGCAUCCUCCUGAGAGUUGUUUACUACAGAUGCUUUCACCCCACCGUGCAGGCUGCAUCCCUGGGCAGCUAUGACGAAGUGGAUGCCAGAGAGCUGGGGGACGUUGGGACUGCUUCCCCCCCCCAGCUGGUUGUGGGAUGUGUCAACCCUCGAACAUACAGCCUGUUUCAGCACUCCUUUGCUGGCCCUGUACGGGACACGCAGCAGCACCAAGAAAACGGAACUCUUCAAGGAUGUGUAUCUUGGGUCUAUUCUUUGAAUAUGACCAAACCUAGACCAUGGGUGGGAAAUACAGUGCUCGCCAGAUGUUGGAUUGCAGUUCCCAUGAUCUCACACCAUUGGCUGUACCUGCUGAGGCUGGUGUGAACUGCCAUCUGGCAUCACCUGGAAAGCCAUUCCAGGAAGACAAAGGACCAGAUGUUCUAGAAGUGCAUCAUCAAAUCAGCCUUUGGACAUCUACUUAUUUUGGAUGGAUGACUCCCAGGACCUUGUGUGGUACUGUGUGUUUUCUCAUUUCCUCCAGCGUAUAAUUACAAGCAAAUCAACCUCUUGGAACACCCACAGAGGUGGUCCCUGAUUGGGUUACUCAAAGCCUACAAUGAGAGUUCAUUCCACUUAUUUAUUUAUAGGAAUUAUAUCCCGCCUUUUUUCUUUUUUAAAGAACUCAAGGCAGCUUAUACCAUUCUCCUGCUGCUCUCAAUCUUAUCCCCACAACAAUAAACCUGUGAGGUAGGAAGGGCACCAGAGCAGGAGGCCAGAAGUGGAGACAUGACGGAGUAGACCAUGGGGCUGUUCAGUUCAGCAUUCUCCUCCCAGUGUGGCCAACCAGGUGCCUGUGGGAUUCCCAGAGGACAUAAGUGCAGCAAGGAUACCCACAAGGACAUGAGUGUCCAUGUUCCUCAGCAGCUGGUGCACAUAGGCAGACUGCUUCUGAUAUUGGAGGUAGUAGCUAUAAACCAUGAGGGCUAGUAACUUUGUAUACCUUCCUCCAUGAAUUUCUCCAGUCCAUUUUUAGAGCUGUCCAAAUAAGCAGAAACAACUUUCUCUCACAGGGAAUUCCAUGCACUGUUACUUCUUUCUGUCCAGAAUCUCCCACAAUCAGCAUUAUGGAAUAAUCCUGAGUUCUAGUAUUACAGGAGAAGAAAUACGUAUCCUCUUCCACAUGUUCCACACCAAGCUUAACUGUGAAGAGACUUCCUGACUAGGAUCCAAAGUUGACGCCUCAAACUGCCCAGAAAAAGCACUGAGGAAAAUGAUGCUCCAAAUACUGCUGAAGCACAGAAACCAACAGGGGCAAAUGACUGUGCAUGACCUUGCAACAGGAAACAGUCCCUCUCCCAAGAAGAGGAAGUGGGGAUCCACAUGGAGGCAGAGGAAGAUGCUGUUCUCCUGUCCUCUGUGAACUCAUGUUUGAGGAUCAUGGUUUCCUGCAAAGUAGCCGUGAUCUCCCUGGAUGGGAGGAAUGGGGAGUUGGGGCUGAUGAGCUCCAGCUGGCCAUGAAGUGCCAUCAGGAAGAGGGAAGUGCAGGAACCUGGGUAGAUGGAUGGCAGGUUCACAGGACAGUUUCCUAUUACACAGAGCAUGAUGGUCAAGGAAUCUAUAGCUGUUUAAUGCCU